UCUGUCCUUAGUACGAGAGGACCGGGAUGGACGUACCUCUGGUGCACCAGUUGUCAUGCCAAUGGCACGGCUGGGCAGCUACGUACGGAACGGAUAAACGCUGAAAGCAUCUAAGCGUGAAGCCGACUCCAAGAUUAGAUAUCCCAUUGCAUAAGCAAGUAAGACCCCUUGAGGACUACGAGGUUGAUAGGCUGCAUGUGUAAGUGUCGUGAGGCAUUUAGCUUGGCAGUACUAAUAGGUCGAGGGCUUGACCACAA
RNAcentral lists this ribosomal RNA (257 nucleotides) under Ruminococcus bromii. RNAcentral's name for it is "partial 23S ribosomal RNA". It matches the Rfam family "Bacterial large subunit ribosomal RNA", at positions 2671 to 2925 of the family's 2925-position model. The record is from RNAcentral. Lineage: Bacteria; Bacillati; Bacillota; Clostridia; Eubacteriales; Oscillospiraceae.